RNAcentral lists this unclassified non-coding RNA (345 nucleotides) under soil metagenome. Its description in RNAcentral is "partial contains 5.8S ribosomal RNA, internal transcribed spacer 2, and large subunit ribosomal RNA". The stretch from base 1 to 121 matches the Rfam family "5.8S ribosomal RNA", at positions 35 to 154 of the family's 154-position model. The record is from RNAcentral.
GAUGAAGAACGCAGUGAAAUGCGAUAAGUAAUGCGAAUUGCAGAAUUUCCGUGAGUCAUCGAAUCUUUGAACGCACAUUGCGCCCACUGGUAUUCCGGUGGGCAUGCCUGUUCGAGCGUCAUUAUCCUCCCUCAAACCCCGGGUUUGGUGUUGGACCCAAGUUGUGUGAACAACUGGUCUCAAAGACAAUGACGGCGUCCGUGGGACCCUCGGUGCAACGAGCUUUUAGGAGCACGCAUCGAGUUGCAAGGACCUUCCGGGCCGGUCUCCUUUACCAUUUUACAAGGUUGACCUCGGAUCAGGUAGGAAUACCCGCUGAACUUAAGCAUAUCAAUAAGCGGAGGA